RNAcentral lists this ribosomal RNA (252 nucleotides) under uncultured bacterium. RNAcentral's name for it is "partial 16S ribosomal RNA". It matches the Rfam family "Bacterial small subunit ribosomal RNA", at positions 524 to 776 of the family's 1533-position model. The record is from RNAcentral.
UACGUAGGCAGCGAGCGUUGCUCGGAGUUACUGGGCGUAAAGAGUGCGUAGGCGGUUUUCUAAGUUUGGUGUGAAAUCUCCCGGCUCAACUGGGAGGGUGCGCCGAAGACUGGAAGGCUUGAGUAUGGGAGAGGUAAGCGGAAUUCCUGGUGUAGCGGUGAAAUGCGUAGAUAUCAGGAGGAACACCUGCGGUGUAGACGGCUUACUGGACCAUAACUGACGCUGAGGCACGAAAGCGUGGUAGCAAACAGG